This 465-nucleotide ribosomal RNA is filed under the name Vreelandella stevensii. Its description in RNAcentral is "partial 16S ribosomal RNA". It matches the Rfam family "Bacterial small subunit ribosomal RNA", at positions 338 to 795 of the family's 1533-position model. The record is from RNAcentral. Lineage: Bacteria; Pseudomonadati; Pseudomonadota; Gammaproteobacteria; Oceanospirillales; Halomonadaceae.
CCUACGGGUGGCUGCAGUGGGGAAUAUUGGACAAUGGGCGAAAGCCUGAUCCAGCCAUGCCGCGUGUGUGAAGAAGGCCUUCGGGUUGUAAAGCACUUUCAGUGGGGAAGAAAGCCUUGGGGCUAAUACCCUCGAGGAAGGACAUCACCCACAGAAGAAGCACCGGCUAACUCCGUGCCAGCAGCCGCGGUAAUACGGAGGGUGCGAGCGUUAAUCGGAAUUACUGGGCGUAAAGCGCGCGUAGGCGGUCUGAUAAGCCGGUUGUGAAAGCCCCGGGCUCAACCUGGGAACGGCAUCCGGAACUGUCAGGCUAGAGUGCAGGAGAGGAAGGUAGAAUUCCCGGUGUAGUGGUGAAAUGCGUAGAGAUCGGGAGGAAUACCAGUGGCGAAGGCGGCCUUCUGGACUGACACUGACGCUGAGGUGCGAAAGCGUGGGUAGCAAACAGGAUUAGAUACCCCUGUAGUC